RNAcentral lists this ribosomal RNA (111 nucleotides) under Caerostris darwini. Lineage: Eukaryota; Metazoa; Arthropoda; Arachnida; Araneae; Araneidae. The record is from RNAcentral.
AGACGGCCAUACCAUGCUGAAUAUACCGGUUCUCGUUAGAUCACCGAAGUUAAGCAUCAUUGGGCGCGGUCAGUACUUGGGUGGGUGACCACCUGGGAACACUGCGUGCCG